AGGUUCCAAAAUUAUUGUUAAGUGAAAAUAAGGUAGUGUUUAUCCAAGCCAACCAGGAAAUGGGCUUAGGAGCGGCCAUUUUUUAAAGACCUCGUAACAGAGCACUGGUUUUAUACAAUUUUGUAUGUAUUGUUAGAUGCACCUAAGAUUUACCGGAUCUAAAUAAUAUACCGAGACCUUGUCCAUAAAUAUUUAUAUGUACAAGUUACAUAGAAUAUAUAUGGGGUAGCGGAACAUUGGGCAUAUCUCAGAUUUUUUCUUUUUAAGACUUAAGAUUAGAUUACCCAAGUGAUAAUGCUGACAUGAGUAACGAUAAAGGGUUUAUACCCUCGCCUAAAGCUUAUGGAAUUUACUUAAAGUAACGGCCUCUAAGUUUAAAUUUGCUAUAGUUUAAACAAACAACACUUGAUACCUAACUCUAACAGACGAUACAAGUGCAAAAUAGUAAACACCUAAUGGUAUAAACGAUGAGAAAAAGCUAAGUUUUACAGAUAUAAAUAGCAUGAGUGUUGCAGGUAGGUAUUAUAUAUAUAAUGGAUUUUUUUUUUAUUCUUUUUAUGCGUUAUUAUCCUUUGCACUAUUCUGG
Molecule: ribosomal RNA, 586 nt
Filed under: Rhizocarpon geographicum
Lineage: Eukaryota; Fungi; Ascomycota; Lecanoromycetes; Rhizocarpales; Rhizocarpaceae
Description: partial large subunit ribosomal RNA
Rfam family: Bacterial large subunit ribosomal RNA (bases 1-302)
Source: RNAcentral